This 433-nucleotide ribosomal RNA is filed under the name uncultured bacterium. RNAcentral describes it as "partial 16S ribosomal RNA". It matches the Rfam family "Bacterial small subunit ribosomal RNA", at positions 29 to 507 of the family's 1533-position model. The record is from RNAcentral.
AACGAACGCUGGCGGCAUGCCUAACACAUGCAAGUCGAACGAGACCUUCGGGUCUAGUGGCUCACGGGUGCGUAACGCGUGGGAACCUGCCCUUAGGUUCGGAAUAACUCCCCGAAAGGGGUGCUAAUACCGGAUAAUGUCUUCGGACCAAAGAUUUAUCGCCUUUGGAUGGGCCCGCGUUGGAUUAGCUAGUUGGUAGGGUAAAAGCCUACCAAGGCGACGAUCCAUAGCUGGUCUGAGAGGAUGAUCAGCCACACUGGGACUGAGACACGGCCCAGACUCCUACGGGAGGCAGCAGUGGGGAAUAUUGGACAAGGGGCGAAAGCCUGAUCCAGCAAUGCCGCGUGAGUGAUGAAGGCCUUAGGGUUGUAAAGCUCUUUUACCCGGGAUGAUAAUGACAGUACCGGGAGAAUAAGCUCCGGCUAACUCCGUG